UGGGGAAUAUUGGACAAUGGGCGCAAGCCUGAUCCAGCCAUGCCGCGUGUGUGAAGAAGGCCUUUUGGUUGUAAAGCACUUUAAGCGAGGAGGAGGCUCUCUUAGUUAAUACCUAAGAUGAGUGGACGUUACUCGCAGAAUAAGCACCGGCUAACUCUGUGCCAGCAGCCGCGGUAAUACAGAGGGUGCGAGCGUUAAUCGGAUUUACUGGGCGUAAAGCGUGCGUAGGCGGCUUUUUAAGUCGGAUGUGAAAUCCCCGAGCUUAACUUGGGAAUUGCAUUCGAUACUGGGAAGCUAGAGUAUGGGAGAGGAUGGUAGAAUUCCAGGUGUAGCGGUGAAAUGCGUAGAGAUCUGGAGGAAUACCGAUGGCGAAGGCAGCCAUCUGGCCUAAUACUGACGCUGAGGUACGAAAGCAUGGGGAGCAAACA
RNAcentral lists this ribosomal RNA (428 nucleotides) under uncultured bacterium. Its description in RNAcentral is "partial 16S ribosomal RNA". It matches the Rfam family "Bacterial small subunit ribosomal RNA", at positions 355 to 774 of the family's 1533-position model. The record is from RNAcentral. RNAcentral also lists the same sequence under 1 other name.